This 510-nucleotide ribosomal RNA is filed under the name uncultured bacterium. RNAcentral describes it as "bacterial SSU rRNA". It matches the Rfam family "Bacterial small subunit ribosomal RNA", at positions 28 to 531 of the family's 1533-position model. The record is from RNAcentral.
GACGAACGCUGGCGGCGUGCCUAACACAUGCAAGUCGAGCGGAGUCGAUCGACGGAAGCCUUCGGGCGGAAGAUGGUUGACUUAGCGGCGGAUGGGUGAGUAACGCGUGGGCAACCUGCCUCGAAGACCGGGAUAACAGACCGAAAGGGCUGCUAAUACCGGAUGUGGUCAAGGAUCCGCAUGGAUCUUUGAUUAAAGGGGAAACCCGUUUCGAGAUGGGCCCGCGUCCUAUCAGCUAGUUGGUGAGGUAAAAGCUCACCAAGGCGACGACGGGUAGCCGGCCUGAGAGGGUGACCGGCCACACUGGAACUGAGACACGGUCCAGACUCCUACGGGGGCAGCAGUGGGGAAUCUUCCACAAUGGGCGAAAGCCUGAUGGAGCGACGCCGCGUGAGCGAAGAAGGCCUUCGGGUUGUAAAGCUCUGUCUGGAGGGACGAAGGAAGUGACGGUACCUCCGGAGGAAGCCACGGCUAACUACGUGCCAGCACGCCGACGGUAAAUAGCGUACU